GACUCUCAUCAACGGAUAUCUUGCCUCUUGCAUCGAUGAAGAACGUAGCGAAAUGCAAUACUUGGUGUGAAUUGCAGAAUCCCGUGAACCAUCAAGUCUUUGAAUGCAAGUUGUGCCUGAAGCCAUUAGGCCAAGGGAACACCUUCCUGGGUGUUG
This 156-nucleotide ribosomal RNA is filed under the name Lupinus angustifolius (narrow-leaved blue lupine). RNAcentral's name for it is "rRNA 5_8S_rRNA". It matches the Rfam family "5.8S ribosomal RNA". Rfam says of the family: 5.8S ribosomal RNA (5.8S rRNA) is a component of the large subunit of the eukaryotic ribosome. It is transcribed by RNA polymerase I as part of the 45S precursor that also contains 18S and 28S rRNA. The record is from RNAcentral. Lineage: Eukaryota; Viridiplantae; Streptophyta; Magnoliopsida; Fabales; Fabaceae.